GCCUGCAUACACAGGAGACAGGGAGCCGAUCCCCAACAUAGUUCCGCUGCACAGUUUUUAUUCCAUCAGUGUGAAGUUAGUCAGGUCCUGACCACUCUCAUCCUCGAGCAUAUCAUCACACAGCUGCCCCUGCAACUGCUUCAGUAAAGCAGACUAAGAUCUACAUGGAGCCUCAUCCUGUCUUCAGAUACUCCCCUUUGCAGUUUGUACAGAUUAAACCAUGUCUUGUGAUUCUGGAGAAGAUGAAACUCCCAGUGAACUUGUAAUGGACAGCCCUGAAGACACAUGCAGUAACCACUGAGUCUCAUCCAAGAGAGCAGGGAAGUUCCUGGAAUGUAGGCCAGUCAUUUCAAUCUAACAAAAAACAAUCAAUUCUCAGUAAUUUAAAGUUCUCUUAAAUAGUCAGCCCAGACAGGAAGGAUUCCAGUUUAAUUAACUACAGGCUUAAACCUACAAAGGGGCAUUCUGCAUCUCUUGAGACCACUGCACACCUUUUGCAAAGGAAAGCUGGAGGCAUCUUCUGAGAAUAAACAUCAAGACCACUGCUGCUCUGUUUCAAACUUGCCCCCACAGUGCCCAGAUCUCUGCAGAGUGCAGCACCCACCAUUUUUGCUAUGACAGUCAGAAAGUUCUUGAUUCCUUAACAUGGGAACAUCAGCAUGUUGUUACUCCCAGACAUUUCUUUCUUCACUUUUCAAUGUUUUCUCUGUGCUAUCUGUCAUCACCUUGUUUUCUCAUUUUCCUUUUAAUUAAAGAUUAUUAUUCAAAGGAGGAAAUGUAGCACAAUUUGAGAAUUCAUUCAGCAUGUAUAGAGAUGCAUGUGGUCUACU
This 830-nucleotide long non-coding RNA is filed under the name Gallus gallus (chicken). Its description in RNAcentral is "lncRNA (ENSGALG00010026456.1)". The record is from RNAcentral. Lineage: Eukaryota; Metazoa; Chordata; Aves; Galliformes; Phasianidae.